AUUCCAGCUCCAAUAGCGUAUACUAAAGUUGUUGCAGUUAAAAAGCUCGUAGUUGAAUUUCUGGUCUUGGACGGCGGUCUACCACAAUUGUGGUACGUACCAACUGUCCGAGUCCAUCCUCGGGGAAAACAUGCCUGUGAUUCAGUUCAUGGGUAUGGGAUCCUCGUCAUUUACUGUGAGCAAAAUAGAGUGUUCAAAGCAGGCUUAUGCCGUUGAAUACAUUAGCAUGGAAUAAUAAGAUAGGACCUUGGUCUAUUUUGUUGGUUUGUACUCCAAGGUAAUGAUUGAUAGGGAUAGUUGGGGGUGCUAGUAUUGGCCGGCCAGAGGUGAAAUUCUUGGAUUCGGUCAAGACUAACUUAUGCGAAAGCAUUCACCAAGGAUGUCUUCAUCA
RNAcentral lists this ribosomal RNA (391 nucleotides) under Chrysophyceae sp. RNAcentral describes it as "partial small subunit ribosomal RNA". It matches the Rfam family "Eukaryotic small subunit ribosomal RNA", at positions 582 to 975 of the family's 1831-position model. Lineage: Eukaryota; Chrysophyceae. The record is from RNAcentral.